CCUACUGGAGACAUCAUUGGGGACUAUUGCGCAAUGGACGAAAGUCUGACGCAGCGACACCGCGUGAGGUCUUCCUUUUUUCUUCUCUUCCCCCUCUUUCAUGCUUUCAGAAAGCGCAUGGCGCCAAUCAGCCAUGCGUUGACGGUACCUCCAAAGGAAGCGCCGGCUAACUCCGUGCCAGCAGCCGCGGUAAUACGGAGGGCGCGAGCGUUAAUCGGAAUUACUGGGCGUAAAGCGCGCGUAGGCUGGUGUGUAAGUUGGGGGUGAAAUCCCACGGCUCAACCGUGGAACAGCCAUUGAUACUGCGCGACUUGAAUCCGGGAGAGGGUGGCGGAAUUCCAGGUGUAGGAGUGAAAUCCGUAGAUAUCUGGAGGAACAUCAGUGGCGAAGGCGGCCACCUGGACCGGUAUUGACGCUGAGGCGCGAAAGCGUGGGGAGCAAACAGGAUUAGAUACCCCUGUAGUC
Molecule: ribosomal RNA, 465 nt
Filed under: uncultured bacterium
Lineage: Bacteria
Description: partial 16S ribosomal RNA
Rfam family: Bacterial small subunit ribosomal RNA
Source: RNAcentral